UUGAGGAGUCGCCUAAUAGGUAUGGCACCGCUCUUUGAAAGCGGAAAAAUGCAGGUUCGAUCCCUGCCUCCUCAGU
This 76-nucleotide transfer RNA is filed under the name Microseira wollei NIES-4236. RNAcentral describes it as "tRNA-Gln". It matches the Rfam family "tRNA". Rfam says of the family: Transfer RNA (tRNA) molecules are approximately 80 nucleotides in length. Lineage: Bacteria; Bacillati; Cyanobacteriota; Cyanophyceae; Aerosakkonematales; Aerosakkonemataceae. The record is from RNAcentral.